GGUAUAGCCUACUACAUACCUAGGUGAUAUAGUAUAGCCUAUUGCUCUUAGACUACAAACCUGUACAGCAUGUUACUGUACUGAAUACUGUACAUGAUUGUAACACCAUGAUCAGUCACUUAACAUGGCCUCUUACUAGCAACAUUGGCAGUGGAUCUGUAUGCUUAGGGGCCACGAUGAACAAAACAACUCGAGAUUGAAUCAAACACAAGAGAAAAUGAUGCAAUCAAGAGACGUGCCUCAUCCUUUGAAAAAGUGAGAGCUGGAAGCAUAACUAGCACUGAAAACUUGUCCUAUAAUUACAUUCUCCACUAAAAGGAAUCAAGACUCCCUAAGAAGAAUUACUAUAAGUAGUUAUAAUGAUGUAAU
Molecule: long non-coding RNA, 369 nt
Filed under: Equus caballus (horse)
Lineage: Eukaryota; Metazoa; Chordata; Mammalia; Perissodactyla; Equidae
Description: lncRNA (ENSECAG00000050029.1)
Source: RNAcentral